RNAcentral lists this ribosomal RNA (385 nucleotides) under uncultured bacterium. Its description in RNAcentral is "bacterial SSU rRNA". It matches the Rfam family "Bacterial small subunit ribosomal RNA", at positions 28 to 412 of the family's 1533-position model. The record is from RNAcentral.
GACGAACGCUGGCGGCGCGCUUAACACAUGCAAGUCGAACGGUUAAACCGCCCUCGGGCGGAAAUACAGUGGCGAACGGGUGAGUAACACGUGACCAACCUGCCCCCUCCUCCGGGACAACCUCGGGAAACCGAGGCUAAUACCGGACGCUCCCGCCAGGCCGCAUGGCCCGGCGGGGAAAGCCCAGGCGGGAGGGGAUGGGGUCGCGGCCCAUCAGGCAGACGGGGGGGUGACGGCCCACCGUGCUUACGACGGGUAGCCGGGCUGAGAGGCCGGCCGGCCACACUGGGACUGAGAUACNGCCCAGACUCCUACGGGAGGCAGCAGUGGGGAAUUUUGCGCAAUGGGGGAAACCCUGACGCAGCGACGCCGCGUGCGGGAGGAA